AGCUGGUCUGAGAGGAUGGUCAGCCACACUGGGACUGAGAUACGGCCCAGACUCCCACGGGAGGCAGCAGUCGAGAGGCUUUGUCAAUGGGGGAAACCCUGAACAAGCGACGCCGCGUGGGGGAUGACGGCCUUUGGGUUGUAAACCCCUUUCAGCAGGGACGAAUGUUAUGUGGGUGAAUAAUCCACGUAGUUGACGGUACCCGCAGAAGAAGCUCCGGCUAACUCCGUGCCAGCAGCCGCGGUAGUACGGGGGGAGCGAGCGUUGUUCGGAAUCACUGGGCGUAAAGGGCGUGUAGGCGGUUCGGUAAGUGAGAUGUGAAAGCCCCCGGCUCACCCGGGGAUGUGCAUUUCAUACUGCCGGACUUGAGUGCGGAAGAGGAUGGGGGAAUUCCUGGUGUAGCGGUGAAAUGCGUAGAUAUCAGGAGGAACACCGGUGGCGAAGGCGCCCAUCUGGUCCGUUACUGACGCUGAUGCGCGAAAGCUAGGGGAGCGAACGGGACUAGAUACCCCGGUAGUCCUAGCCGUAAACGGUGGGCACUAGGUGUUGGAGGCAUCGACCCUUCCAGUGCCGCAGCUAACGCAUUAAGUGCCCCGCCUGGGGAGUACGGUCGCAAGACUGAAACUCAAAAAAUUGACGGGGGCCCGCACAAGCGGUGGAGCAUGUGGUUCAAUUCGACGCAACGCGAAGAACCUUACCCAGGCUUGACAUGCACUGGACCGGUGUAGAAACACACCUUCCCUUCGGGGCUAGUGCACAGGUGCUGCAUGGCUGUCGUCAGCUCGUGUCGUGAGAUGUUGGGUUAAGUCCCGCAACGAGCGCAACCCUUGCCCUUAGUUGCUAACGAAUAAAGUCGAGCACUCUAGGGGGACUGCCGGCGGUAAGCCGGAGGAAGGUGGGGACGACGUCAAGUCCUCAUGGCCCUUACGCCUGGGGCUACACACGUGCUACAAUGACCGACACAGAGGGCUGCGAUACCGCGAGAUGGAGCCAAUCCCAAAAAGUCGGCCUCAGUUCGGAUUGCAGUCUGCAACUCGACUGCAUGAAGGUGGAAUCGCUAGUAAUCGCUGAUCAGCAGGCAGCGGUGAAUACGUUCCCGGGCCUUGUACACACCGCCCGUCAAGCCACGAAAGUUGGCAGUACCCGAAGUCGCCGUGGUAACCCGCAAGGGAGCUAGGCGCCUAAGGUAAGGCUAGCGAUUGGGGCUAAGUCGUAACAAGGUA
RNAcentral lists this ribosomal RNA (1223 nucleotides) under metagenome. RNAcentral's name for it is "bacterial SSU rRNA". It matches the Rfam family "Bacterial small subunit ribosomal RNA", at positions 285 to 1498 of the family's 1533-position model. The record is from RNAcentral.